GAUGAACGCUGGCGGCGUGCCUAAUACAUGCAAGUCGAGCGAACAGACGAGGAGCUUGCUCCUCUGACGUUAGCGGCGGACGGGUGAGUAACACGUGGAUAACCUACCUAUAAGACUGGGAUAACUUCGGGAAACCGGAGCUAAUACCGGAUAAUAUAUUGAACCGCAUGGUUCAAUAGUGAAAGACGGUUUUGCUGUCACUUAUAGAUGGAUCCGCGCCGCAUUAGCUAGUUGGUAAGGUAACGGCUUACCAAGGCAACGAUGCGUAGCCGACCUGAGAGGGUGAUCGGCCACACUGCAACUGACACACGUUCCAGACUCCUACGGGAGGCAGCAGUAGGGAAUCUUCCGCAAUGGGCGAAAGCCUGACGGAGCAACGCCGCGUGAGUGAUGAAGGUCUUCGGAUCGUAAAACUCUGUUAUUAGGGAAGAACAAAUGUGUAAGUAACUAUGCACGUCUUGACGGUACCUAAUCAGAAAGCCACGGCUAACUACGU
RNAcentral lists this ribosomal RNA (496 nucleotides) under uncultured bacterium. RNAcentral's name for it is "partial 16S ribosomal RNA". It matches the Rfam family "Bacterial small subunit ribosomal RNA", at positions 28 to 506 of the family's 1533-position model. The record is from RNAcentral.